RNAcentral lists this ribosomal RNA (1208 nucleotides) under metagenome. RNAcentral's name for it is "bacterial SSU rRNA". It matches the Rfam family "Archaeal small subunit ribosomal RNA", at positions 225 to 1445 of the family's 1478-position model. The record is from RNAcentral.
UCAGGUUGUUGGUGAGGUAAUGGCUCACCAAGCCUUUUACCGGUGCGGGCCGUGAGAGCGGGAGCCCGGAGAUGGGCACUGAGACAAGGGCCCAGGCCCUACGGGGCGCAGCAGUCGCGAAAACUUUGCAAUACACGAAAGUGUGACAGGGCUAUCCCGAGUGCCAUCCGCUGAGGAAGGCUUUUACCCAGUCUAGAACGCUGGGGGAAUAAGGAGAGGUAAGUCUGGUGUCAGCCGCCGCGGUAAUACCAGCUCUCCGAGUGGUGUGGAUGUUUAUUGGGCCUAAAGCAUCCGUAGCUGGCUGAGUUAGUCCCUUGUUAAAUCCACCGAAUUAAUCGUUGGAUUGCGGGGGAUACUGCUCGGCUAGGGGACGAGAGAGGCAGACGGUAUUUCUGGGGUAGGGGUGAAAUCCUAUAAUCCCAGGAGGACCACCAGUGGCGAAGGCUGUCUGCUAGAACGCGCCCGACGGUGGGGGAUGAAAGCUGGGGGAGCGAACCGGAUUAGAUACCCGGGUAAUCCCAGCUGUAAACGAUGCAGACUAGGUGUUUGGACGGCCACGUGCCGUUCUAGUGCCGCAGGGAAGCUGUUAAGUCUGCCGCCUGGGGAGUACGAUCGCAAGAUUGAAACUUAAAGGAAUUGGCGGGGGAGCACCACAAGGGGUGAAGCUUGCGGUUUAAUUGGUCAACGCCGGAAAUCUCACCGGGAGCGACAGCAGUAUGAAGGCCAGAUUAAAGGUCUUGCCAGACGAGCUGAGAGGAGGUGCAUGGCCGUCGCCAGUUCGUGCCGUGAGGUGUCCUGUUAAGUCAGGCAACGAUCGAGACCCGCGUCCUCUGUUGCAACUAGCUUUGAGCUGGGCACACUGAGGAGACCGCCACUGAUAAAGUGGAGGAAGGAGCGGGCCACGGCAGGUCAGUAUGCCCCGUAUCUCCCGGGCCACACGCGAGCUGCAAUGGCAGGUACAAUGGGUUCCGACCUCGAAAGGGGAAGGCAAUCUCGAAAGCCUGCCGUAGUUGGGAUCGAGGGCUGCAACCCGCCCUCGUGAACAUGGAAUCCCUAGUAAUCGCGUGCCAUUAGCGCGCGGUGAAUACGUCCCUGCUCCUUGCACACACCGCCCGUCGUUCCAUCCGAGCGACUCUUGGGUGAGGCGCCGUCUUUCGUGGCGGCAUCGAAUCUAAGUUUCGUAAGGAGGGAAAAGUCGUAACAAGGUG